AGUGAACGCUGGCGAUAGGCCUAACACAUGCAAGUCGAACGGCAGCACAGUAAGAGCUUGCUCUUACGGGUGGCGAGUGGCGGACGGGUGAGGAAUACAUCGGAAUCUACUUUUUCGUGGGGGAUAACGUAGGGAAACUUACGCUAAUACCGCAUACGACCUACGGGUGAAAGCAGGGGAUCUUCGGACCUUGCGCGAUUGAAUGAGCCGAUGUCGGAUUAGCUAGUUGGCGGGGUAAAGGCCCACCAAGGCGACGAUCCGUAGCUGGUCUGAGAGGAUGAUCAGCCACACUGGAACUGAGACACGGUCCAGACUCCUACGGGAGGCAGCAGUGGGGAAUAUUGGACAAUGGGCGCAAGCCUGAUCCAGCCAUGCCGCGUGGGUGAAGAAGGCCUUCGGGUUGUAAAGCCCUUUUGUUGGGAAAGAAAAGCAGCAGGUUAAUACCCCGCUGUUCUGACGGUACCCAAAGAAUAAGCACCGGCUAACUUCGUG
Molecule: ribosomal RNA, 492 nt
Filed under: uncultured bacterium
Lineage: Bacteria
Description: partial 16S ribosomal RNA
Rfam family: Bacterial small subunit ribosomal RNA
Source: RNAcentral